RNAcentral lists this long non-coding RNA (1633 nucleotides) under Homo sapiens (human). Its description in RNAcentral is "non-protein coding lnc-ZFYVE26-6:1". The record is from RNAcentral. Lineage: Eukaryota; Metazoa; Chordata; Mammalia; Primates; Hominidae.
AAAUCUUCUGCCAAGCUGCCCUACACCUGCACACCAGCUGAGUUGCAGGAAAAGGAAAAGCAAGAUGGAUUAAGUGGGAUUUUUGUCUGGGCUCCUUAAUGAGACUAAAGGCUUUUCUUCCUUCAGUGUUUGGUCUUGUGUAAUAAAUUGAUGCCAACUCCUUUAGGAGUGACAUGACUCAUCCUUAACUUUUUAUAAACUGAUCUGAUUAUCUGUCAUGACCUCUCUCUGUCAUAUUCUGGAAUCGCCUUUUGAGAGUUUUCUUCUGUAGAAAAAGUUUAGGGCUUAAUGAGACGAUCAGCAUGGCAUGCCAACCCUCUGGCAGGGUUUCUCAGGGAGGCACCUGCUGCUCCCCAAAUUAGCAGGAAGCAGAAGCAGUGAGGAGACAUUACUGUGUGGCUGCUUCAAGGGUCACCUGGCUUUCAACGUUUCAAACCAGAUGUGUUCUCUCAAGAUGGCAGCAGCAGACCUCAUUCUAGAGCCUGUCCUCGCCAAAAACAGGGAUCUGGUUAACCUUAUCUGAGGGUGCCUAGUGCCCACUCAAAAAGCCUGUGACUACUAUCAGGGCCAGUGCCAAUUGUACACUUUUAUGAGACCUUUUUCCAAAGGCUUAAAGUGUUUUACCAAUAUUAACUCAUCAGGAGUCAUGGCAACCCUCGAGUAGAAAACUGGCAAAUAUUGGUUCAGGUGGGAGAAAUUGUGGGAUGGGAUUGAGAAGAAUCAAGUACUCUGCUAAGAGUGAGGCAGUGGGAGUGCUCCCAUGCCCCACACUGCCACCCCUUAGGUAAUUUAUCCCUUUCAGGGCUUCUUCCAGUUCUGCCUAGGCUAGAUGAACCUGCUUUUUUUUUUGUCUCAAUCAAAGGGUUUUGAAAAAUAAGCACUGCUGUUAAUAAGGCAAAGCCUGAAGCUGUCAAAGGAAAACAAGAACAAUUUUAUACAAAGACACAAAGAACUGUCCUCUUAAGAGUUUUGAUAAAAGAAUGAUUUAUGUAUGCAGUAUCUGCUUCUAUGACUGACACAAAGUACAAGGUUCAAUCUUUCUGUACCUCAACUUUCUCAUCUAUACAAGCCAAAAAAAAAAAACCAUUUAGAAUAUCUCCAGAGAUGUUUUGAAAUUUUAGUAAUAAAUGUUUUGAAUUGCACAGAGAUCUUUGAAGGAGGAUCUCUGAAGUGUUGAAAAGUGCCCUGUCUUAUAGUAUGUUAUAGUUCUAGAGGAAAGUCCUUUAAUUACUGGUAUAUAUGUUAGGAAAUAAGGAUAAAUUCAUGCGGUUUCAAGUGAUUUUUAAAAAUAAAAGCUGCUAUAAUUACAAAAAAAAAUCAUCUUUAUCUUGCAGAAACAUUUUUUUAAAAGUGGUAGAGGCAGGUUCUUCCAUAGUAUAUGGCAUCCACAGAUAACACACUAAUAAAGAUGGCUACUUUUCCCAAUUUCUCUUUGACUUCAUCAAAAAGGAAUUAAACAUGAAAAAAUACUAAAAGAACCAUUCUCAUUCAAUCAUAGAUUGAAUGAAGAUAGAAAAGCACAGCUCUUAGGUUCAACUACUGAGUUAAGCUAUAAAAGUCUGUUCAGUGUAAGCUCACAUUGAGUUUUGAGCCUUAAUUUCCUUGACUAUUUUUUAAAAAGAUAAUUUUACAA